CCCUGGCUUAACCCAUUCCCCGCGGGUCUGGCGGCAGCCAGCGAAACGCUGGGAACCGAGAGGGCGAGACGGCACGUGGACAGGCGAGUGGGGGGAGCCUGAGAAGAGGGAGGAGAAAAGAGAAGGAAGGGCAAAGGCACCAGAGGAGGAGCACGCAGAGUACAGACCGAAGCAGGGCCGGACCUCAUUUGCUUAAUGCAAUGCGGCUGAACUCUCGCUGAACUCGCCUGGCGGCGCCUCACCUCCGAGUGACCCACCCACCGCUGCCCGUGACAUCACCCGCUCGCCAGCCUGCCCGCGGGGCUCGCCCGCCGGCCCCUAGCCUGACUCGGCCGGGCCAGCUCUGGCAGAGACGCCAAGAGCGGCCGCAGAAAGACUAGGGCUGGGGCGCGUGUGGCCAAGCGUCAGCGCCACGAACGCGGCGUGCCGGGUGUCCUGGGUGUGACAUUGUGCAGCUUGAGCUGUGUCGGAUUGAGACACCCGGCUUGUGUCAUUGUCUGUGACAUCAUGUGUGACUCGGGCGGCCGGAACCCGACGCGGCAGCGCUGGUGCUGUUGGCACAAACACAGCAGACGGGGCUCUCCUCCCCACGCUCAGCGUGCUUCCGGUGAGCAAAGCCCCGCCCAGGGUGUCUCCCAGCCGAGGAACCAGGAUCGGCCCCUGCUGCGCGGUCCAGCCCAGGAGAGAUCAAAGGAGGGUCUGGUGCCUCCCAGCUGACCACUUCAUCCCGGAAGCCCUGGGGAUACCUGUUUCAUUGGAAGAAAGGCCUAGCUUGGGUAGGUCCCUAGAAAGAGGGGAUACCCCCAGGAAGGGUAUCCUACCCUGCUCUCUAAAAGGAAGGAAUGGAAAUUUACAUGCUACCCAAGGAUAUUCUUCUAGAAGCCAGGUUCUUUACAUACGUUGUCAUUUAAUUCUACAGCAACUCCAAGAGAUAAGUUUUACGAAUAAACAAAAUGAGGUCUCAGCAAGGCUA
Molecule: long non-coding RNA, 973 nt
Organism: Lemur catta (Ring-tailed lemur)
Lineage: Eukaryota; Metazoa; Chordata; Mammalia; Primates; Lemuridae
Exons: 2
Source: RefSeq, a predicted model, not a curated record